CCGAGAGCGAAACCCGAUUUCGAAUAUCCCCGAAGACGUCGGACUCGAUCCGGGAGUUGUCCUUUUAAGUGAAACAAAUUGUUCCAGCAUGACGAGCCAGAUGUAUAGAUAAAGCUGGAAGAAAGUCACCAUAUAAGCUAACAAACGGAAGUUUUCUUUCAUCAAUUCCGUUCAGUAGCAUUCCGGAUUCCAAUAUAUCCCGCGAAAUCUCCAACUAAAUUUCUUAAUAGUUGUAAUCUGGUCGCAUCCCAGUGAUAAAGCCUCCGAAUCAAAAUUGUUAACACUGUUUUAAGGAUUGUGUUUGUGUUGGAAAAAGAUUUUUUUAAAUAAAUAACAAAAAUA
Molecule: long non-coding RNA, 342 nt
Organism: Uranotaenia lowii
Lineage: Eukaryota; Metazoa; Arthropoda; Insecta; Diptera; Culicidae
Exons: 2
Source: RefSeq, a predicted model, not a curated record